GGGGAAUCUUCCGCAAUGGGCGAAAGCCUGACGGAGCAAUACCGCGUGAGGGAAGACUGCCUAUGGGUUGUAAACCUCUUUUUUCAGAGAGGAAUAAAAUGACGUGUACCUGAAGAAUAAGCAUCGGCUAACUCCGUGCCAGCAGCCGCGGUAAGACGGAGGAUGCAAGUGUUAUCCGGAAUCACUGGGCGUAAAGCGUCUGUAGGUGGUUUAAUAAGUCAACUGUUAAAUCUUGAGGCUCAACUUCAAAAUCGCAGUCGAAACUAUUAGACUAGAGUAUAGUAGGGGUAAAGGGAAUUUCCAGUGGAGCGGUGAAAUGCGUAGAUAUUGGAAAGAACACCGAUGGCGAAAGCAUUUUACUGGGCUAUUACUAACACUCAGAGACGAAAGCUAGGGUAGCAAAUGGGAUUAGAUACCCCAGUAGUC
RNAcentral lists this ribosomal RNA (426 nucleotides) under uncultured cyanobacterium. RNAcentral describes it as "bacterial SSU rRNA". It matches the Rfam family "Bacterial small subunit ribosomal RNA", at positions 356 to 795 of the family's 1533-position model. Lineage: Bacteria; Bacillati; Cyanobacteriota. The record is from RNAcentral.